GCAUAUCAAUAAGCGGAGGAAAAGAAACUAACCAGGAUUGCCUCAGUAAGGGCGACUGAAGCGGGAAGAGCUCAGGAUGUGAAUCUGCGCCUUGGUGCGCCGAAUUGUGGUCUGUCGACGGUGGCAUUACUGGCCGGGCCAAGUCCCUUGGAACAGGGCAGCUGAGAGGGUGAGACUCCCGUUCGCUUGGCCUUUGGAGUGAGUGUCGACGAGUCGAGUUGUUUGGGAAU
This 230-nucleotide ribosomal RNA is filed under the name uncultured fungus. Its description in RNAcentral is "partial 26S ribosomal RNA". It matches the Rfam family "Eukaryotic large subunit ribosomal RNA", at positions 38 to 281 of the family's 3401-position model. The record is from RNAcentral. Lineage: Eukaryota; Fungi.